AAGUCUUAAAAGUUGCCAAGUUUGGAGACCUCUGGCCUUGACAGUGCCUUGUAAGACCAGCUCACAGGAUAUGAAGCUGGUGGGGCUUCAUAGCAAAACUGAGAGGUUUUAAAAGCAGAGUCAGUGUCAUAGCUGCCUGCAAAUGUGCAAAAUGACUGUAAGGGAGGCAGCUACAGGUGUCCUGUUCUCAAAGGUAUUCCCCGGAUUGGGGCUGCCCCUACAGGCGUUGCAGGCAUGGCUUCUGUGCUGUGCUUGUGUCAGUAGGUGGCACAGAGAAGCAGGCUAGGUCUACGCUCAGUGCUUUGAUGGGUGAGCACUCAGAAUGAUUACUAGCCUGACAAAACUGCAAUUUUCUUUUCAUCCUUUGAGGGGGUUCUAGUGGCUGAUAUUAUUUAAGUCUGGAUUCGAUACUAGGAAAGGACUAAGUUUGUAAACUAUCUGAGGGUGCUAAGUUCAGCUUUUUCUUAGAUGAACGAGAACACUGCCAUUUCUAAUACUUUACUGCUCUUAACUUUAGAAAAUGCAGGUCAACCUUAAAGAGUGUCAGGUUUUUGUUCAUACACGAUGUUAGGGAUUUUGGAAAAGCAUGUUUUUGUUGAAUCAUUGGCACAGUGAAAUUAACUAAGCCACUUUGUUUAUAGGGACAUGAUGCUGGCUCUUCAACACAUGUUUAGAAUGAGCUCUGAAAGGCAUUGGCCAAAGUAAAGAUGCUUUGUCCUGAACUUUACAAAGGAGCUGAGAGGCCAUGAUGUCCAACUCCCAACCAAGCAGAUGGAGCAUCAUGGGUGCAAGUGGCGGGAAUGAGAUGAGAUUUAGUUCUCAGAAGUUUCCAAGGUGUCUGGCUCCAUUCUUCCUUCAGGGACCUUCCUCUUCAGUUUCACUUCAGCGAGGCUCCAAUUCAGCAUCUCUUUGGGUCACCUGGGUUCUUCAGCCUCCAUAUGCACUUUUGAAGAAUUGUCGCUUGGGAAAUGUGAUUUUGAGUGAGCCAGGUUCUGAGCCUCCUUGAAGAGCGCUGGCUUGGUUUGUGUUCUUUAAGCUCCUUUGUCAGCUGAGCUUAGUGGAGGGUAUUCAGGUAAUCCUCGAGUUAAGAAUGUGAUAGAGCCUGCCAAUUACAUUGGUAACACAAACAUUCAUUUGUUUGAAUCACGUUAAAUGAAUGUGAUUGUCAGCCUUCAAGAUCUUCCUUUCCUUUGCUUCUUUCUGGCUGCCAUGAGUAAGGGGGUGUGUGGAAGGGGGAGAUGUAUGGGACGUGAGCUGAAAGUGUUACUAACUGAUAUUGUAUAAACUGGGGAGGGUUUCUCAUUCCUGCUUAGCUUUCUCUUCUCUGCGCAAUU
Molecule: non-coding RNA, 1334 nt
Organism: Notechis scutatus (mainland tiger snake)
Lineage: Eukaryota; Metazoa; Chordata; Lepidosauria; Squamata; Elapidae
Source: RefSeq, a predicted model, not a curated record